Molecule: long non-coding RNA, 973 nt
Filed under: Lathyrus oleraceus (garden pea)
Lineage: Eukaryota; Viridiplantae; Streptophyta; Magnoliopsida; Fabales; Fabaceae
Description: Pisum sativum (pea) long non-coding RNA (PSAT_LNC019819)
Source: RNAcentral
AUCAUUUAUGAAUAUAUAUUCAGAUUAUAUAUUAUUAGAUGAUCCAUAACCUUAAUAAAUAUAAGUAGAAUUCCUUUUUAAUCCAAUGCAACUUCAUAAAAUCAGAUUAAGCCUACAGGAGGUAUAAGUAGAUCACAAGUACUAAAGUAAAAAAAUGAAAUUAAUACUAUACCACAACUCCACAAGGAUGUUGACAUGACAUGACUAGAUUUUUGUAUACCAGAAUUAAAUGUAGCAUGACCUUGACUUGGAAAACAAACAACCACACAUUACAAACAAGAAGUUUUGCAUUGUACCACACACAAAAUUAUCCUAAACAAACUAUCAACAAGAAAAUAAAACAAAUAUUAAUCAAACACUUAUCUUCUGCUCCUGAGGGUAUAAGGAAUAUUGUUUGAUUCUUCCAUGGAAUCUCCGUGACCUGUUUCUGGUUCAUGACAACGCCUAGCAUGCUUCUUUACACAUGGUAUCAUGAAGAUGAGCACCAUGAAAAGAGAGAAAACUAUGACAAAAACCAUAAGCAUUAUCUUUCCAUUUAAGGCAUAGUUCUUGUCAUCAGAGAAUUGAACAUUGUCAUCUUCUAGUUGUUGAGGACUGUAAGAACUCAUCAUAGAUACAAAUUAAGGGAAGUGUUAAUGGAAAAUGUUGAGUUCUCUUACAAAUGCACCAAACUUGCGCAAUAUUAUUUGGCUUAGUUUGCAACAAUAUUCUACUUGAUGAUGAUUGAGAAUUAUUUUUCUGUGUGAGUACAAUGAGAUGCAACUAGGCUCUGAACCAAGUGGUCCAUGGUUGCUUUGUUUUUUGAAUUGUAUUUAUUUAGUAACAUGUGAUAUGAAUGUUGCAAAUGAAUGCUACGUUCUUGUUGUAGUAAUUAGUAUUUUUAAGACUUUUUAAUAUAAAAAAUAUUUAUUUUUUCAGAUUUAUAGAAAAAUCAAUGUAUUUAGACUAUAUGAUCUAGAUAUAUUAAUUUUUU